This 199-nucleotide ribosomal RNA is filed under the name uncultured bacterium. Its description in RNAcentral is "partial 16S ribosomal RNA". It matches the Rfam family "Bacterial small subunit ribosomal RNA", at positions 328 to 539 of the family's 1533-position model. The record is from RNAcentral.
ACGCUCGACACCUACGGGAGGACAGCAGUGGGGAAUAUUGCACAAUGGAGGAAACUCUGAUGCAGCGAUGCCGCGUGAGGGAAGAAGGUUUUCGGAUUGUAAACCUCUGUCUUUGGGGACGAUAAUGACGGUACCCAAGGAGGAAGCUCCGGCUAACUACGUGCCAGCAGCCGCGGUAAUCUGAGCGGGCUGGCAAGGC